GACGAACGCUGGCGGCGUGCUUAACACAUGCAAGUCGAACGGAAAGGCCUUGAUUUUGUGGGGUGCCCGAGUGGCGAACGGGUGAGUAACACGUGAGUAACCUGCCCUUGACUUUGGGAUAACUUCAGGAAACUGGGGCUAAUACCGGAUAGGAGCUCCUGCUGCAUGGUGGGGGUUGGAAAGUUUCGGCGGUUGGGGAUGGACUCGCGGCUUAUCAGCUUGUUGGUGGGGUAGUGGCUUACCAAGGCUUUGACGGGUAGCCGGCCUGAGAGGGUGACCGGCCACAUUGGGACUGAGAUAGGGCGCAGACUCCUACGGGAGGCAGCAGGGGGAAAUAUUGCACAAUGAGCGGAAGCCUGAUGCAGCAACGCCGCGUGCGGGAUGACGGCCUUCGGGUUGUAAACCGCUUUCGCCUGUGACGAAGCGUGAGUGACGGUAAUGGGUAAAGAAGCACCGGCUAACUACGUG
Molecule: ribosomal RNA, 468 nt
Filed under: uncultured bacterium
Lineage: Bacteria
Description: partial 16S ribosomal RNA
Rfam family: Bacterial small subunit ribosomal RNA
Source: RNAcentral